RNAcentral lists this small RNA (1433 nucleotides) under Pyricularia oryzae. RNAcentral describes it as "Magnaporthe oryzae sRNA M_BR32_EuGene_00111731". Lineage: Eukaryota; Fungi; Ascomycota; Sordariomycetes; Magnaporthales; Pyriculariaceae. The record is from RNAcentral.
UAUAUUUAUAAUUCUUCUAAUAUAACUAGUAGAAUUUGAGGUUUUAUAAAAUAUUUAUUAUAUAUAUUUUCUUAAAUCGUCUUUGGAAUUUUAUAUAUUUUUUUUUAAAUAUUGUAUAUAUUUUCUUAAAUAUUAUAUAAAUUUUCCAUAUUCGUUAUAAAAAGCGUUGCGGCGUUGUUAUUACGUAUUUGCCCGACGAUAUAACAAACACGAUAAUAAAUUAAAAAAAUCCUGCAAUACUUGCACUUAGCAAGUGCCAACCUAAAUUGAUUUAUUUUUCUAUUUUUAAAAUUGUUAGUAUAACAGGUAAUAUACCACCCAUUGCAUUAAUAUAUUAAAAAACGAAAAAAGUUUCAUUUACGUUCAAAAAACAAGAUAUUAACAAAAAUAUUACGGCCGAGGCCGCCAUAAUUACCAAAAGGCCCUUAACCACCGUUUAAACACUGGCGGAAACUUUUAGUAAUUUCACAAUGCAAAUAACACCGUUAAAAUAACGUUAGCAAAUUCUAGAAAAAAUACGCCCUAUUCCGUAUCAAAAUCCGAAAUAAUAAUCGAUAAACGGCGAGCGAAAUUUUAAUAAUUCACGCGACGCCGAAAAGAAAAACAAACAAAUUUUCUUCGGAAAAAAUAAACCAAAUAUUUUAACUUUUUUAACGGAAAAUAAAACGCGAUAAAAAUAUUAAAAAACAAACAAAAACGGAAUGGGAUAUAUUCCAAAAUAUAUUAUAAAUUAUUAACCGGGAAACGACGAAAUAUUCCGUUCCGGAAUUUAUUAUAUAAUAUUAACAAAUAGUAAUAAAAUUGGCCGACGUUAUAACGGAAACCCUAAUUAAAAAAUAACCGGGUUUUAUAAUUGGCAAUAUUUUACCUACAAUUAAUAGAAAUAAUAGAAAAGAAUAAUAUUCCCGGGAUAUUAAUAAAAUCGCAACAUAUUAUAAAAAUUAACGGAUUAAAAAUAAUAUUAAACCCAAUUUACGUAAGUUUAAACAGUUCGGCUAAUAAACAAAUAAUGCAAUUUAAACCAAAACCCAAAAAGGUAUAAAAGAAAUACCCAAACGCCACCAAAAAAACCGAUACAAAAAUACUAUUAAAAUUUACGUUCCAAAAUAAUACGAAAAGAAUAUACAAAAUUAUACGGCCGCGAUUAUACGUAAAACGGUAACGGAAAAACCUUAAUUUUGCCCGGAAAAUAUCCAAAAAAACACGGUAAUAACCACAAAUUACGCAAUACGAAACAAAAAUGUAAUUAUAUAAAGAAUAAUAUUCGAAAAUAAAAAGAAUAAUCGCGAAAUUGGGGGAAUUAAAAUUUGAUAAAAUAAAAACGCCGGUGGAAUAAUAUAUAUACCUGAUUAAAAAUAUACCGGUACAUUACCGCACGGUAAAAAACAAUUAGGCCGAAACGUCGGAAAUAUUUAAAAAUAAAAUUAAAUAUU